CAAUAGCGUAUAUUAAAGUUGUUGCAGUUAAAAAGCUCGUAGUUGGAUUUGUGGUGUGUCCAGUCGGCCUUUGCUCUCUGAGUGAUUGUGCUGUACUGGUCUGCCAUGUUUGGGUGGAAUCUGUGUGGCAUUAAGUUGUCGUGCAGGGGAUACCCAUCGUUUACUGUGAAAAAAUUAGAGUGUUCAAAGCAGGCUUAUGCCGUUGAAUAUAUUAGCAUGGAAUAAUGAUAUAGGACCUUGGUACUAUUUUGUUGGUUUGCGCACUAAGGUAAUGAUUAAGAGGGACAGUUGGGGGUAUUUGUAUUCCAUUGUCAGAGGUGAAAUUCUUAGAUUUUUGGAAGACAAACUACUGCGAAAGCAUUUACCAAGGAUGUUUUCAUUAA
This 383-nucleotide ribosomal RNA is filed under the name uncultured eukaryote. Its description in RNAcentral is "partial 18S ribosomal RNA". It matches the Rfam family "Eukaryotic small subunit ribosomal RNA", at positions 592 to 976 of the family's 1831-position model. The record is from RNAcentral.